Molecule: ribosomal RNA, 497 nt
Filed under: uncultured bacterium
Lineage: Bacteria
Description: partial 16S ribosomal RNA
Rfam family: Bacterial small subunit ribosomal RNA
Source: RNAcentral
GAUGAACGCUGGCGGCGUGCCUAAUACAUGCAAGUCGAGCGAACGGACGAGAAGCUUGCUUCUCUGAUGUUAGCGGCGGACGGGUGAGUAACACGUGGAUAAUCUACCUAUAAGACUGGGAUAACUUCGGGAAACCGUAGCUAAUACCGGAUAAUAUUUUGAACCGCAUGGUUCAAAAGUGAAAGACGGUCUUGCUGUCACUUAUAGAUGGAUCCGCGCUGCAUUAGCUAGUUGGUAAGGUAACGGCUUACCAAGGCAACGAUGCAUAGCCGACCUGAGAGGGUGAUCGGCCACACUGGAACUGAGACACGGUCCAGACUCCUACGGGAGGCAGCAGUAGGGAAUCUUCCGCAAUGGGCGAAAGCCUGACGGAGCAACGCCGCGUGAGUGAUGAAGGUCUUCGGAUCGUAAAACUCUGUUAUUAGGGAAGAACAUAUGUGUAAGUAACUGUGCACAUCUUGACGGUACCUAAUCAGAAAGCCACGGCUAACUACGUG